UCUCCGUUGGUGAACCAGCGGAGGGAUCAUUAUCGAGUUUAUAACUCUCAAACCCUAUGUGAACUUACCACUUGUUGCUUCGGCGCGCGCUUCGGUGCCGCCGAGGACACUUAAACUCUUUGUUUUUAUAAGCAUUUCUGAGUGGCCGAAAGGCAAAAUACAAAUGAAUCAAAACUUUCGACAACGGAUCUCUUGGUUCUG
RNAcentral lists this unclassified non-coding RNA (201 nucleotides) under plant metagenome. RNAcentral's name for it is "partial contains small subunit ribosomal RNA, internal transcribed spacer 1, and 5.8S ribosomal RNA". The record is from RNAcentral.